GGGCCUGUAGCUCCAACUGGCAGAGCAGCGGACUUUUAAUCCGAAGCGUGUGGGUUCGAGUCCCACCGGGCCCA
Molecule: transfer RNA, 74 nt
Filed under: Actinomycetes bacterium
Lineage: Bacteria; Bacillati; Actinomycetota; Actinomycetes
Also listed under: 1 other name
Description: tRNA-Lys
Rfam family: tRNA
About the family: Transfer RNA (tRNA) molecules are approximately 80 nucleotides in length. Their secondary structure includes four short double-helical elements and three loops (D, anti-codon, and T loops).
Source: RNAcentral